RNAcentral lists this ribosomal RNA (492 nucleotides) under uncultured bacterium. RNAcentral's name for it is "partial 16S ribosomal RNA". It matches the Rfam family "Bacterial small subunit ribosomal RNA", at positions 29 to 507 of the family's 1533-position model. The record is from RNAcentral.
AGUGAACGCUGGCGGUAGGCCUAACACAUGCAAGUCGAACGGCAGCACAGUAAGAGCUUGCUCUUACGGGUGGCGAGUGGCGGACGGGUGAGGAAUACAUCGGAAUCUACUUUUUCGUGGGGGAUAACGUAGGGAAACUUACGCUAAUACCGCAUACGACCUACGGGUGAAAGCAGGGGAUCUUCGGACCUUGCGCGAUUGAAUGAGCCGAUGUCGGAUUAGCUAGUUGGCGGGGUAAAGGCCCGCCAAGGCGACGAUCCGUAGCUGGUCUGAGAGGAUGAUCAGCCACACUGGAACUGAGACACGGUCCAGACUCCUACGGGAGGCAGCAGUGGGGAAUAUUGGACAAUGGGCGCAAGCCUGAUCCAGCCAUACCGCGUGGGUGAAGAAGGCCUUCGGGUUGUAAAGCCCUUUUGUUGGGAAAGAAAAGCGGCAGGUUAAUACCCCGCUGUUCUGACGGUACCCAAAGAAUAAGCACCGGCUAACUUCGUG